This 257-nucleotide long non-coding RNA is filed under the name Helianthus annuus (common sunflower). RNAcentral describes it as "sRNA HanXRQr2_Chr14g0627341". Lineage: Eukaryota; Viridiplantae; Streptophyta; Magnoliopsida; Asterales; Asteraceae. The record is from RNAcentral.
UUGCUUGGUGGAUAUCUAAAGUCUAUUGAGCAAUCUCAAUAUGAUACAAGAGCUGUUGCUUAGGAUGUUGAUCGUGACACGCUAGGGUGGACUUGGGCCUUAGUGACAUAAAAUGAAGAUAGACUUAGUUUAAUUAUGAACUCUUGUUUCUUUUAUUUUAAGACAAUAUAACUCUUUGGUUCUUGUUUUGAGACAAUGUAAUUCCACCUUUGGUUAUGAAUAAAAUAUUAUUUUAAUUACCAUGGUUGUGGAACAAU